CAUUGCAGCUGGUGGGACGGAUCGAAAUCACGGCGCCAUAGUGAAGUGCGCGCCGGGGAACGAGAAUCUAUAUGGCAGAGGAAAAGAUUCAUCGGUUCAUGGAUCCCGGUUCGUCCUGCUGCCGCCUUUAACCACGUUCUGCGGCAGGAACUUCCAUGAUAGUCUUACAUCUAGCUAGUCGCUGUGCUUUCCCUCUCGGCUGACGUGGCCUGGCGAGCCUUCUCUAUUUCGCACUCUGCACGCACAAGUGGACUCGUCUUCACGAGGGAUGUUCUUAUGGCGCCUUCCUGGAUGCUCCUGCCAUAUUGUCACGGCCUCUUCACGGUGCCGGGCGACAUAUGUCGUUUUUUACAAGCUUCGAAAGACGGCGAGUGGUGGCAAACGAUCAGCAUCAAGCUGACAAUGGUCACUGUCCCAACGCGGGCCUCGACAGUUUCUUCUUGCUUGUCCGGCACAUCCUUUAAGGAAGGUCGUAACAAGAUGAGAAGAGGCGCGGCCUGCUCAAGCCUGUUCGCCUCCUCCGUACACCGCUUUUUGCCGGCCCCUACGUGAGCUGAGGCCGUUCUACGAGGUACAGGGCACGAAAGAAAGGGAAAAGGUGCGGGGUCAUGGAAAGGCAGACAAGCACGCGAAGGAGAAGGAGGAGGAUCGUCGCUCGCUACAGACGGGUCUUGCAAGAAGAAACAAGCAAGCAAGCAAGCUGCCGGCAAUUCCUCCACCCGAGCAACACUUCUGAAGGGCGGUAGAAUCUGAAGUCCUGAACAGCCUGUACAGGCAAGGCUAAACACAAGGACGCUUUAUAAACGGGGCACAACAACCACUAUGAGAGCCGUCAAUUUAAUGUCGCCGUGCUAACCUGCCCUCACGGCUCACCAUUCAGACUACAGGACUGUAUCGCAGACGAUAUUUAGGAGGUGCCGAAACAUCUGCAGCACAAAUAUCCA
Dermacentor albipictus is the source of this 944-nucleotide long non-coding RNA. RefSeq lists it as uncharacterized. The record is from RefSeq and is a predicted model, not a curated record. Lineage: Eukaryota; Metazoa; Arthropoda; Arachnida; Ixodida; Ixodidae.